UACGUAGGUGGCAAGCGUUGUUCGGAUUUACUGGGCGUAAAGGGCGCGCAGGCGGCGCAUUUUGUCAGGCGUGAAAGCCCCGGGCUUAACCUGGGAACUGCGUUUGAUACGGAUGGGCUAGAGUUCGGGAGAGGAGAGUGGAAUUCCCAGUGUAGAGGUGAAAUUCGUAGAUAUUGGGAAGAACACCGGUGGCGAGGCGGCUCUCGUCGG
RNAcentral lists this ribosomal RNA (210 nucleotides) under uncultured bacterium. RNAcentral's name for it is "partial 16S ribosomal RNA". It matches the Rfam family "Bacterial small subunit ribosomal RNA", at positions 524 to 732 of the family's 1533-position model. The record is from RNAcentral.